This 253-nucleotide ribosomal RNA is filed under the name uncultured bacterium. RNAcentral describes it as "partial 16S ribosomal RNA". It matches the Rfam family "Bacterial small subunit ribosomal RNA", at positions 524 to 776 of the family's 1533-position model. The record is from RNAcentral.
UACGUAGGGGCCGAGCGUUGUCCGGAGUUAUUGGGCGUAAAGAGCUCGUAGGCGGCUUGUCGCGUCGACUGUGAAAUCCCGCGGCUCAACUGCGGGUCUGCAGUCGAUACGGGCAGGCUAGAGUUCGGUAGGGGAGACUGGAAUUCCUGGUGUAGCGGUGAAAUGCGCAGAUAUCAGGAGGAACACCGGUGGCGAAGGCGGGUCUCUGGGCCGAUACUGACGCUGAGGAGCGAAAGCGUGGGGAGCGAACAGG